GUUCCUGUGCUCCAAGUCCGCUACCUUGUGAAACUCGACUUCCAGAACAUGCGCUCCGUAGUUCUGGCUGUCCAGGUCUUUGACCUGCUAACGUUUGACCUUCACGACUAAUUUUCCGUAGUUCUGGCUGUCCAGGUUCUGAACCCGGUGACUUUUCACCAAGCGCUACGUAGUUUGUGCGCUCCAGGUUCGCUGCCUGGUGAAACUCGACUUUAGGAACAACCGCUCCGUGGUUCCUGCGCUCCCAAGCCGCUACCUAGUGGAACUCGACUUUCAGGACACGCGCUCCGUAGUUUCUGCGCUCAAGGUCCACUACCUGCAGGAACUCGAUUUCCAGGACAAGGGUUCCAUGGUUCCUGCACUCCAGGUUCGCUACCUGGUGCGUCUCGACUUCCUGACAAGCGCUCCGUGGUUGCUUCGAUAAAGGUCCAAUACCUAGUAAAACUCGACUUUCAGAACACGCGCUGCGUAGUUUCUGCGCUCCAGGUCCGCUUCCUGGUGAAAAUCGACGUUCAGAACAAGAGUAUUCCAGGUAUAACCCGAGGUGAUUAGCAGUAGUGGUUGGCGGUGGUCGAGCUGGACAAGGCGGAGGAUGAGGAAGACGAGGAGAACAAGGUGGACGAGGAGGACGAGGAUUUGUGCUCGGUGGGUGGCGGUCGUUGGAGAUGGCCGGAGGUGGACAAGGAGGACGAGGAUUUUUGCUCGUUCUGUGCCCCACCUAGUGAUCCACUAGUACAUAUCCUCCGACGUGACAUCGCUCUGCUACGUAUGAAGAAGAAAAGAUUUAUUAAGAUGCAAAUUGCUCCUUUCUUCUUGCCAUUGUGCUUUCAGCCAUUGUUGUGCCGUGUGUUUAAAAUUUAGGACAGUAUGUAAUAUAGAAUAACAGGUACAGCUACGAAUAUAGGACUACAGUAAAUCUUAUAGAAAUGAGCUCUCAUUGAGAUUUCUCUGUAUUUAUAACUCGACGCGAGAAGGCAAAAAUCAACGUAAUGCCAUCUGUAAGGUAAUUGGACUCGUAUUUCCACUACGAGAACUCGU
Molecule: long non-coding RNA, 1038 nt
Filed under: Neodiprion lecontei (redheaded pine sawfly)
Lineage: Eukaryota; Metazoa; Arthropoda; Insecta; Hymenoptera; Diprionidae
Description: uncharacterized LOC124295280
Source: RNAcentral